Unclassified non-coding RNA from Macaca fascicularis (crab-eating macaque), 148 nucleotides. It matches the Rfam family "Metazoan signal recognition particle RNA". From Rfam's summary of the family: The signal recognition particle (SRP) is a universally conserved ribonucleoprotein. It is involved in the co-translational targeting of proteins to membranes. The record is from Ensembl. NCBI's taxonomy places the organism in Eukaryota, Metazoa, Chordata, Mammalia, Primates, Cercopithecidae.
GCUGGGCAUGGAGGUGCGUGCCUGUAAUCCCAGCUACUUGGGAGGCUGAGGCAGGAGAAUCGCUUGGACCCAGGAGGUAGAGGUUGCAGUGAGCCAAAAGCACGCCAUUGCACUCCAGCCUGGGUAACAGGGUGAGACUCUGUCUCAA